This is a long non-coding RNA of Pseudophryne corroboree (corroboree frog), 398 nucleotides long. RefSeq lists it as uncharacterized. NCBI's taxonomy places the organism in Eukaryota, Metazoa, Chordata, Amphibia, Anura, Myobatrachidae. The record is from RefSeq and is a predicted model, not a curated record. The transcript has 2 exons.
AUCAUCACCCUUCAUCUCGGCACCGCGCUGCUGCAGCUUCCUCCAGACUCCUGGUCUCUGCCACCGCUGCAUGCUGGGAGAAGGGGGAGGAAGGAGGGACAGUCACGGCAGCAGUGUGUGUGGAGAGUGAGGACUGGGAGACAUCAGCUCAGCCGCAGUGAGGAGCCUUACAGGAGCCAGGAGGUGAAAAACGGAGGAGCUGUGUCAGUGGGAAGCUGCCUCCUGUAUAUACAGAGAGCUGGCUGCAGCUAGGGGAGCUCCAGAGCGCGGCUCCUCCCGGGCCCUUCCAGUUAAGCAAGCCAGCCGAGGGAAGUUCUCUGCUCCUCCGUCAGGCUGAUGAUAGCCAAAGGUAGGCACUGACAGCACUUGCCUCAAGCUUUAAUAAAUGUUGGAAGCAC